UUAAGUUCAGCGGGUAAUCCUGCCUGAUCUGAGGUCUAAAUUUAAAUUGACUAAGAUCUGUUUAGGAGCUUCUACUGUCUUCUCAUUCGGCCACCCAAAGGUGUCCUCAGCGAAUAGUCUAUCACGCUGAGUCAAUCCGAAGUUCGAAAUUGAGAUGCUAAUGUAUUACGAAUGAGCUACGUCCGAAGACCAGCAACACU
RNAcentral lists this unclassified non-coding RNA (200 nucleotides) under fungal sp. Its description in RNAcentral is "partial internal transcribed spacer 2". Lineage: Eukaryota; Fungi. The record is from RNAcentral.